RNAcentral lists this long non-coding RNA (4265 nucleotides) under Sus scrofa (pig). Its description in RNAcentral is "lncRNA (ENSSSCG00000054108.1)". Lineage: Eukaryota; Metazoa; Chordata; Mammalia; Artiodactyla; Suidae. The record is from RNAcentral.
UUCUCAAUAUAUUUCUUAUUCUUUGCCUACUUGUUAAAUGCUCAUGCCUGGGAGUCCCCUGGUGGCCUAGUGGUUAAGGAUCUGGUGUUGUCACUGCUAUGGCUCAGGUUACUGCUGUGGUGCAGGUUUGAUCCCUGGCCCAGGGAGUUCCUCAUGCUGUGGGCAUGGCCAAAAUGCUUAUGCCUUUGAGUUCUUUCUUUUCCAUCUUUUCUUCUUACUCGGUACCCAGCAUGAUUCUGUAACCACUCCUGUUGUACAAAUCCAUUACUGCCUUCUCUCCUGAGCUUCAAACAUGGCACAUAACCAUUUGGCUAUUUCAUAGGGACCUCCAACUACCAAUAAUUUUGUAGGGAUCUCAAACUGAGCAUAGUGACAAAAAGAUUGCCCUAUCCCUUACACUUCUCCAGCUCAAGCUCAGUACUUCUUCAUGUGCCUUGUCAAUCUGACCACCUAACAUCAAUUAUUCCAUUCUUUUCAUAUCCAAUUACUAUACUUAACUUUUCUUUCAUUGUCUGUGGCUCUGUUCAAAAUGAUCCUACAGCCUGUACAGCAGCAAUCACACUGUGGUUUAUGGUUUGUUUAUCUAUGUCUGCUACUUCAAUUAUUUUUCUUUCUUAAGACUGCUCUUUUUUUAAGAGCAGAGGCCGUUCAUAUUCAGAGUGGGCCCAACUCAUUGUAUCCAGUACGUAAUAAAUGAUCAGUAAAGAUUUGCUGAACCAAGCCCACAAAGAAGGAACUGAUUACAAGUGGAAAAGGUGUAUAAUGGGGGAAAAUGUUUGAAAUAUCUACUGUGGAUGAAUUAAUAGUGCAUCUGGUCAGAAAAUGUUGAUCUGGGUUUGUGUGCAUGUGUGUGCGUGUGUCUGUGAUGCACAAACAAUAUGCAUUCACACAUACAUGCAUGUGUGUUGGUGUGUGUUUUGUGUGUUUUGUCCAACAAUACUGCACCAAGAGUGGGAGAGGAGUAGCAGAUGGUGGGUGUGAGUCAGAGUUUCAGAGUGACCUGGCUGAUAGUUAAGAGGUGUACGUAUCUGGGAUAUACUGUGCCUGGAGAUGAGUGUGGCAGAAGUUGAGUGUGGACAGGGCAGGGCUGGAGAAGUUCAGGGGCAGGUUGAGAGGAAUGUAUUGUACUGGGGGUGGAGAAAUGGGAGCGGACCAUCCUUCCCCUUAAUCCUGGAGAAGGUCUCGUCUCCUUUUCCACAGAAGCCCAGGCAGAAGUAACAUUUACAGAUGUUAUAUGUCAGGGUGAUGAAUUUUUCAUGGUCUGUCUGGGUGGAAGGACCAAGAGCCAUGCCCGUUUUAGGCAGGUGGGAGAGUUCCCAUUGUGGGUCAGCAGGUUAAGAACCUGACAUAGUAUCCAUGAAGAUGCAGGUUUGAUCCCUGUCCUUGCUCUGUGGGUUAAAGAUCUGGUGUUGCCACAAGCCGUGGCGUAGGUCACACGCAGAUGUGGCUUGCAUCUGGUAUUGCUGUGGCUGCAGGGGAGGGCCAGCAGCUGUAGCGCCCAUGUGACCCCAAGCCUGGGAACUUCCAUAUGCCUCAGGUGCAGCCCCAAAAAGAAAAAAACAAAAACCAAAAAACCCCCAAGACCCAAAAAAAGCAGAUUGGGAAAGCUUUGUGGCCUUUCUGAUCUAGAACUGAGAGAGUAAUAACCAAAGCCUAGCAGACUGCAAGCCCUGUGGUCUAGUGCAGAGAAGCCAAGAUGUCCUUGGUGAAUAGUCACCAUGCUGUGGGGCAGCAGCAGUCGGCCCUGAGCAUGGGCACAGAUGCUGACACCCUGCCAGAGCUAGAGCCACACUUGAGCUGUUCCCCAAGUUUCCUCCUCGUGAGUCAGUAGCUGAGGACUGACUACUCAGACUUACUUUGAGUUUCAUGACCUCCUCUAAUUCUGACUUAGAGAUUUUGUUAGAUAGAAAUGUUUGAACAUCACCAAACUAGUUAGGUAAAACUUUGAUACAAAAAAAGGCAAUGGGAAAAAAAGUACUCCUGAUAAUUUAGUUUUAACAAUCACAGUAAUCCUUACCAGCUUGUCUGAGGUCAUUUGUAGUUAAAAAAAAAUUUUUUUUAGGGCUGCUCCUAUGGCAUAUGAAAGUUCCCAGGCUAGGGGUCAAAUUGGAGCUGCAGCUGUCAGCCUCCACCCCAGCCACAGCAACGCCAGAUCUGAGCCAUGUCUGUGACCUACACCCUAGCUCAUGGCACCACCAGAUGCUUAACCUACUGAGUGAGGCCAGGGAUCGAACCUGUAUCCUCAUGGAUACUAGUCGGAUUAGUAACCCACUAAGCCACAACAGGAACUCCUAAAAGUUUUAGGGUUUUUUUUUUUUUUUUUUUUAAGUCCCUGAACCAAAAGGACUUAAGGAAGUUGUCAACAUUAUUCAUGGGCCAGAGAAUUAGAGGAAGACGUAAUUGCAGAACGAGGUUAGGCUCAGCAGAGAAAACGCAAUAGUCUCUCCUUGGGUCUAGGUAGAGUGCUGAACCAACAUCUCAGGAGACUUUUUUCAAAACAAGUCGUACACUCAUUUUAGAAGGUGAUAAGACUAUAAUAAUGCUGGAUUGAGGUGGGAAGAAAGCAGUGAUUGUCUGGAAACCCUCGGCAAGGUCAUGAUGGCCUCACCCUCACGAGGAACUGACUAAUGUCUGAAGUUCUUUAGUUGAAGGCUCCCUUUGCUGAUACAUGCGUGUUCCUGGGAGGUGGCAUGCUAAACCCUUAUCAGUUAUUUACAUCACAGCAUGAUACCACAAAUACACCAGGCAUGCUCCACCUCGUCCUCUCCACUUCUUUCCCUAGAAGGUUCUGCUCCAGACAUGCACAAGGUUUAUUCCCUCACUCUUCACUUUUUUCCUCCCUCAAAUAUUGCCUUCUCAGUGAGGUCUUUUCCGACCACCCAUAACAAAGUUAUAAUUACUCCCACCCCAAGAGCUCCCCACCCCCUUUCCUACUUCAUUUUUCCUUGGCACACCACGCUCUAAAAGACUGAGCGUACUAUGUAUUAUCUGUCACCACUCAUUAGAAUGUAAGCUUCACGAGGGCUGGGUUUUUUCUCCAUGAACUUUUGUGUAUCCAGCACCUAAACAGUGCCUGGCCCAUUGCAUUGUCAGUCUUCAGUAAAUCGUAGUUGAAUGUGUGAAUGAAAGAAUAGUGAAUAUGUUUGCAAGGUUAUUUUGGAGGAUAGACUGGUGUGUGUGCGUGUGUGUGUGUGUGUGUGUGUUUGUAUGUGUGUGUAAAAUGAGGAUAGAGGGGAAAAGAGCAGAGACCGUUAUAUUCCUGGAAGGACGUGAGUAAAUGUCACCAAACUGAGGUAGAAUUCCCAGGCUAGGCAUCAAACCCACACCACGGCAGUAAGCUGAGCUGCUGCAGUGACAACGCCAGGUCCUUAACCCACUGCACCACAAGGGAACUCCUUUAUCUCAUACUUCCAUCAUGGGUGAGCCUGCUAAGGCUUUCUGAACAGUGUAAAGUUGCAGUUGUUCAGAGGCCAUUUCUGUGUUCUUCCUUUCCUUCCAGACUCCCUUCCCCACAGGAGGGGCAAAGUGUGAAAUUAUCAACAAUAUGGAAAAUCCCUUGCCCUCCAGAGAUGAACAAAGUUAAGCCUUGUUACAAGAGUGUGGUUCUUGGGAAUGUUGAUGUUAUCUCCCCACCUAUUUUUUUCUGAAGAAAAAUUUCAGAAUAAAUCUCCGGCUUUGAUUCACCCUAGGGUUUGUUUAUAGGCAUUCUUGGAAAGAUAAGGGAAAUAGCAGUGACUAGGGAGGAGAGUUUGGUUGCUAAUAGCAGCCCUGGCCUUGCGACCAUUGCCUGUGCAACCGGACAUGUAGGGCUGGGUAGUACGAGUGUACAGGCAGGUACAGAGCGUUUGCUCAGAGUGUCAGGCAGAAACCAUCAUGCUGACCCAAUGUGCCUAACUGAGCCUAGAGAGACCCACCGGAAAAAACCCUCAGAGGACAGAAAAGAAUGCUGGUUUCUUGGCAGUUACUUCAUUUAUUUGCACGUAAACAAGUGAUAUUCUCACAUAUCCAGAAAAAGUGAAGUAGAAGCGAUGCAGUAGCUUUGGAGAGCGAAAGUGGAAAAUCUCAAAAAUAAAUAAUAAUUUCGGAGUUCCCGUUGUGGCUCAGUGGUAACGAACCCAGCUAGCAUCCAUGAGGAUGCAUGUUCGAUCCCUGGCCUUGCUCAGUGGGUUAAGGAUCUGGCGUUGCCAUGAGCUGUGGUGUAGGUCACAGCUGCAGCUCCGAUUUGACCCCUAGCCUGGACAUUUCCAUAUGCCACAGGUGUGGCC